RNAcentral lists this ribosomal RNA (469 nucleotides) under uncultured bacterium. RNAcentral describes it as "partial 16S ribosomal RNA". It matches the Rfam family "Bacterial small subunit ribosomal RNA", at positions 28 to 507 of the family's 1533-position model. The record is from RNAcentral.
GACGAACGCUGGCGGCGUGCUUAACACAUGCAAGUCGAACGGAAAGGCCCUGCUUGCAUGGUGCUCGAGUUGCGAACUGGUGAGUAACACGUUGGUGAUCUGCCCCUUACUUUUUGAUAAGCCUGGGAAACUGGGUCUAAUACUGGAUAGUACCAUUCUUUAUGUGUUGUGGUGGUUAGAUUAUUUUCGGUUAGGGAUGAGCGCGCGGCCUUUCAGCUUGUUGGUGGGGUAAUGGCCUACCAAGGCGUCGACGGGUAGCCGGCCAGAGAGGGUGGACGUCAACAUUGGGACUGAGAUACGGCGCAGAAGACUACGGGAGGCAGCAGUGGGGAAGAAUGGAAAAUGGGGGGAAGACGGAUGAAGCGAAGAAGCGUGGGGGAUGAAGGCCUUCGGGUUGUAAAAAACAUAAAGAAAUGAAGAAGAACAUGUGGUGACGGUAGUGGGAGAAGAAGCACCGGCUAACUACGUG